UACGUAGGAGACGAGCGUUGUCCGGAAUUACUGGGCGUAAAGCGCGUGUAGGCGGAUGAGCAAGUCUGCUGUGAAAGCUCCUGGCUUAACCGGGAGUGGUCGGUGGAAACUGCUCGUCUGGAGGACGGUAGAGGUAGGUAGAAUUCCCGGUGUAGUGGUGAAAUGCGUAGAUAUCUGGAGGAAUACCGGUGGCGAAGGCGGCAUCCUGGACCGAGAUUGACACUGAUGAGCGAAAGCUAGGGGAGCAAACGGG
This 253-nucleotide ribosomal RNA is filed under the name uncultured bacterium. RNAcentral's name for it is "partial 16S ribosomal RNA". It matches the Rfam family "Bacterial small subunit ribosomal RNA", at positions 524 to 776 of the family's 1533-position model. The record is from RNAcentral.